The sequence is a transfer RNA, 74 nucleotides long. It matches the Rfam family "tRNA". From Rfam's summary of the family: Transfer RNA (tRNA) molecules are approximately 80 nucleotides in length. Their secondary structure includes four short double-helical elements and three loops (D, anti-codon, and T loops). The record is from Rfam.
CGGGAAGUAGCUCAGUUUGGUAGAGCACCUGGUUUGGGACCAGGGGGUCGCAGGUUCGAAUCCUGUCUUCCCGA